Molecule: ribosomal RNA, 332 nt
Filed under: uncultured eukaryote
Lineage: Eukaryota
Description: partial 18S ribosomal RNA
Rfam family: Eukaryotic small subunit ribosomal RNA
Source: RNAcentral
CCCUUAGAUGUCCUGGGCUGCACGCGCGCUACACUGGAAGUUACGGAUUGAGAUACUACCUUGUCCGAAAUGGUCCGGGUAAUCACCUAAAAGCUUGUCAUAAUUGGAAUGGAUUAUUGUAACUAGUAAUCCUGAACGAGGAAUUCCUAGUAAGUCCCAGUCAGCAGCUGGUACUGAUUACGUCCCUGCCCUUUGUACACACCGCCCGUCGCUACUACUGAUUGGACGUUUAAGCAAGAUUUUUAAACACUGACAGUGUGUAGUUCACGCUAUACUACAGUGAGAAGAAGAAGAUCGAGCUUACUUGUCUAGAGGAAGUAAAAGUCGUAACA